GUGGAUUGCCAAUCAAGGAUCACUUAAUGACAAAACAGAAUAAUUUAACCCCUAUUCAAAUGACAAUGCCCAGAAUUGCCCACGUAAAUGUCUUGACACAACAGAGAAAGACCAAGUUUUUCAGCCGAAUGAGGCAAAUAACAUUAACGAGCUAUUAUCCCGUAUCUCUUCCUCACCAGUUACAAAAGGCUGACCUCUGAACUUUGAACUUUCCCUUUGACUGAUCCCGACCGUUCUAACGGCGGUGUUAGCCACUUAAGGCUGCAGGUGUAGCCACUUACAGCUCCCAUAAAACGGGCAGGCUGCGAGGGAGGAGGAGCUCGAGCUCGCAGAAGGCGACCCACAGGAAUUAGCAAGGCUAUUCCAAAGGCUGCAUUCCCCAAGGCUUCCCAAAUCGAGCCCACAUCCCCGCUGAGGCUGCAGUGCCCAGCCCCGAGUGCCCCCAGCCAGGGCAGGGGACCGCAUCGCUCUGCUCGGGUCGAGGGCUCAUGGACGAGGUGACCUCAGGCAGCAGAUCACGAUGGCAAGGGAGCAGCGAUGGGCAGCACGUCUCUAAGUGCUCGCUGCUGACUGAGGAAGCGGGUACGCCUCCUGCAGACCUCCAGCUGGCCACCUGGCAUUUCAGGAGCCAUAGAGGAGCUACAGUUUGUGGAUACGUCGCUUUCUUUAAGCCACAGAGCGGGGGUUAUAGAGCUGGCAGACCGUACAAAGCCAUGCCUUUGGAAGCGCUCGAGAAGAUGACUUGAGCAAUGCAAUGCACAGUGUGCAACGUGGGUCCAGGGCAGCAAGGCACCGUGCUGCAGGUCCCACCCAAUCUGUGCUUUUAUGUUCACCAAAACCAAGUCAAGAUUCGUUUUAAUUAACGGAGGAAAAUGCACUUAUCUACUCCACGCAGCGUCCGGGUUUCAAGCAUUCGUUAUCUCCGGUGUGAAAUUUAGGCUGACAACAAUUAACGCUUCCCACGCUGCAGCGCUGCAUCGCUCCGGUGCCCGGUGGGAGCGGGGUGGGGGGGCUCUGGGAAUGGGGCUGCAGGAGCAGGGCCGGGCAGCAGCCGGUGCCGUCAGCUCGCUGCCUGCGCUCCCUCCUAACGAGAGCCGUGCCUAAAGGAGUGUACAGAGCACAGCUGUCCGGGCUCUGGGAUUUGGGUCUGUGUGACCAAUGCAGCAUCUGAGAGUUAAAUUAAUGGCCAAGAGUUUAAUUGUGAGUAAACAAUACCACAUUAAGGAGCAGUAAACACAGCAGUAGGCACUGAAAGGCUGAGUAUUCAAUCACAGAUGUGGCUGCUUUGGUGCUUCCAUUAAUAGCCUCCGUCUGUACCUUCUGACUGUGCUUUUGGCACCGUUGCUCAUUUAGAAGAGCAGUUUCCCCCUCCUGCUUCCACUUCACGUGCACAGCCUGCCCGAGCAGGCUCCCACCAUCACCACCGCACUGAACCCAACCCUGCUGCAUCCUUGGCACGCCAGGCCCCCAGCACGCACACAUAAAGAGGAGCAAAGGUGCAAGCAGAAGCUCCAGGGGCUUGAGCAGACAGUUUCAAGGGUUUGUUAAAUACUUGCAUUGCUUAAAAAAAAAAAAAAAAAAAGCCAUUUAUUUAUUUAAAAUUGUGCAUGUGACAUGUGCACACACCUGGGCAGCCUGGGUACAGACAAUUUGGGAACAAGGACUUGGCCAUUUAACCACAGCCUGAGCCUGCAGGACUCUCGAGCAACCAGCACUGGGUACUUUGUGCCUCAGCAUCCCCCUCAGCGACCCAGGAAGAGCCCUGACCCACAUGGCAGGACCUGUGGGCAUUAGCUGCAGGGCCUUUGAGGGUAAGGAGUGCACAACAGCUGGCUGGAAGUGCAUGAGGGGAGAUACCAAAUUCUUGUUCAUCAUUUUGUUUCUCUGGUUUCCCUUUACUCCCAUUCUCAUUGCUUAUUGAUUUUUGUUUCCAUCUGACAUAUGAGCGACAGUCUAUAUUAAGACAACAGCAGCUGAAGCAUCAGUAAAGUCAACAUCACUACAUCCCGUUCAGAAAUCUGCUGUUUGAUAUGUAGCCUUACCCCUCCAAGAAACACCCUAGGAAAAUGCAGCCACUUCCUAAGGGGGAAUAGUGCCAGGUGGG
Numida meleagris (helmeted guineafowl) is the source of this 2104-nucleotide long non-coding RNA. NCBI's taxonomy places the organism in Eukaryota, Metazoa, Chordata, Aves, Galliformes, Numididae. The record is from Ensembl.